RNAcentral lists this ribosomal RNA (387 nucleotides) under uncultured bacterium. RNAcentral's name for it is "bacterial SSU rRNA". It matches the Rfam family "Bacterial small subunit ribosomal RNA", at positions 30 to 417 of the family's 1533-position model. The record is from RNAcentral.
AUUGAACGCUGGCGGCGUGCUUAACACAUGCAAGUCGUGCGGUAACAGGCGUAGCAAUACGUGCUGACGAGCGGCGAACGGGUGCGUAAUACAUGGGAAUCUGCCUUUUAGUGGGGAAUAACCCGGCGAAAGCCGGGCUAAUGCCGCAUAAGAUCUUCGGAUGAAAGCGGGGGAUCGUAAGACCUCGCGCUGAUAGAUGAGCCCAUGCCGGAUUAGCUAGNGGUGAGGUAACGGCUCACCAAGGCGACGAUCCGUAGCUGGUCUGAGAGGACGGCCAGCCACACUGGGACUGAGACACGGCCCAGACUCCUACGGGAGGCAGCAGUGGGAAUAUUGGACAAUGGGGGAAACCCUGAUCCAGCGACGCCGCGUGUGUGAAGAAGGCCU